RNAcentral lists this ribosomal RNA (224 nucleotides) under Vibrio parahaemolyticus. RNAcentral describes it as "partial 16S ribosomal RNA". It matches the Rfam family "Bacterial small subunit ribosomal RNA", at positions 1 to 214 of the family's 1533-position model. The record is from RNAcentral. Lineage: Bacteria; Pseudomonadati; Pseudomonadota; Gammaproteobacteria; Vibrionales; Vibrionaceae.
AAAUUGAAGAGUUUGAUCAUGGCUCAGAUUGAACGCUGGCGGCAGGCCUAACACAUGCAAGUCGAGCGGAAACGAGUUAUCAGAACCUUCGGGGAAGGAUAACGGCGUCGAGCGGCGGACGGGUGAGUAAUGCCUAGGAAAUUGCCCUGAUGUGGGGGAUAACCAUUGGAAACGAUGGCUAAUACCGCAUGAUGCCUACGGGCCAAAGAGGGGGACCUUCGGGC